RNAcentral lists this ribosomal RNA (450 nucleotides) under uncultured bacterium. Its description in RNAcentral is "partial 16S ribosomal RNA". It matches the Rfam family "Bacterial small subunit ribosomal RNA", at positions 354 to 796 of the family's 1533-position model. The record is from RNAcentral.
GUGGGGAAUUUUGGACAAUGGGCGCAAGCCUGAUCCAGCCAUGCCGCGUGCAGGAUGAAGGCCUUCGGGUUGUAAACUGCUUUUGUACGGAACGAAAAGACUCUUUCUAAUAAAGAGAGUUCAUGACGGUACCGUAAGAAUAAGCACCGGCUAACUACGUGCCAGCAGCCGCGGUAAUACGUAGGGUGCAAGCGUUAAUCGGAAUUACUGGGCGUAAAGCGUGCGCAGGCGGUUUUGUAAGACAGGCGUGAAAUCCCCGGGCUCAACCUGGGAAUUGCGCUUGUGACUGCAAGGCUGGAGUGCGGCAGAGGGGGAUGGAAUUCCGCGUGUAGCAGUGAAAUGCGUAGAUAUGCGGAGGAACACCGAUGGCGAAGGCAAUCCCCUGGGACUGCACUGACGCUCAUGCACGAAAGCGUGGGGAGCAAACAGGAUUAGAUACCCGGGUAGUCC